UACGUAGGCAGCAAGCGUUGUUCGGAGUUACUGGGCGUAAAGGGUGCGUAGGCGGCUUUUUAAGUUUGGUGUGAAAUCUCCCGGCUCAACUGGGAGGGUGCGCCGAAUACUGAGAGGCUAGAGUGCGGGAGAGGAAAGUGGAAUUCCUGGUGUAGCGGUGAAAUGCGUAGAUAUCAGGAGGAACACCGGUGGUGUAAACGGCUUUCUGGACCGUAACUGACGCUGAUGCACGAAAGCGUGGGUAGCAAACAGG
This 253-nucleotide ribosomal RNA is filed under the name uncultured bacterium. RNAcentral's name for it is "partial 16S ribosomal RNA". It matches the Rfam family "Bacterial small subunit ribosomal RNA", at positions 524 to 776 of the family's 1533-position model. The record is from RNAcentral.